This is a long non-coding RNA of Canis lupus familiaris (dog), 886 nucleotides long. RefSeq lists it as uncharacterized. Lineage: Eukaryota; Metazoa; Chordata; Mammalia; Carnivora; Canidae. The record is from RefSeq and is a predicted model, not a curated record. The transcript is spliced from 4 exons.
UAAUUUUUUUUUUUAAUGACUCAAGGUUAUCAUGAUGGCAAAUAAUUCCUCAAUCUAAUGGUCCUUUGCUUUCACCAUAAUAUUAAUGAGCCAUUCUUCUUAAAAAAAUGACUCACCAAGAGCAGAGCAGACUGACCAGCAGCUUUUGGGACUGCACUGAAACCUUCCCACUCCAACCACAGCCAAUUUAUAACCAGUCUGUGCUACAGACCACUCACACUUGGUCCUGACCCAAGAGGAGCCUUGCCCCAAUCAGAAUGGAAUAACUGGGAAAACUCAGGCUAAACAGAGAUGAAACAAGGAAAAGGAGCUUGGAUGAUUUGGAACACAAGCAUCCUGAAUACCAAUCCUUUAUGAAUCCCAAAUUGCCAGGCAUUCCUUUGAUUUUGAAACUCGGUGGGGAGAUUGAAAACAGGAGUCCUUUCCUUCUGGAAAUGCAUUGUCUCUUUAUUCUGCUGUGGUGCAUCAGAGAUGAGCAGAUCCUGUAUUUUUGGCAUUGAUGAAGGGUGCUCUCCAUCUGACUAAAGAAAGCUGGAAGUUGUUGCCUCUCGGUGCCUGGUACUCGGAGCCCCCGUCCUGCUGGUCCAGGGGAAAGUCUGGGAGGCCCAGGAAAUCAACUGCUCUUCAAGAACGGCAGCAUCUGCUAGGGAGGUAGCCCCGCGGUGUCUGUUUCUGAGCCAGAGAAAUAUUAAGUAAACCUAAGGAGGAUGGAUGGCUUUCCAGGGCCCUUUAAAUCUCCGCGUUCCCGGGAACGAACCAGAAGGCAGACGGGGUAGAUCGAUCCUCGGCUUCCCGCGUACCGGGUCUGCAAGGAGCGGGGCAGGGUGCGGAGGGGAAAGGAGACGGGGUUGAGCGGGCGGAGGAAGCUGCUGGAAGACCCGCAGGC